UCUUGUUCCAAGUAUGUUCAGUUCAACCCCCAAACGUAUCAUAUAUGUUUUGUACACAAUAUAAUUCAAGAUUUUUUACAAUACAAUACAAAAUGUUUUUUUUUUCCUGAUAUUAAUAUUGUCUUGUACUGUACAGUCUGUUUUACCAUUUACGAGUCGACAUUGGUGAGUGGUAUGUGAUGUUUGGUUUUAUUUGAUGAUUGUGUUUGCAGGUAUGAAGUGGUGGGAUCCCAAAGUGGGAUUGAAUAUGGCCCAUUCCCCAUCCCAUCGCAUGGACUACCAGCCAGAUUCUGGAAACAAGAAUCAAACAACUAAGUAGGCCAUAACAAGUCACAUUCCUUAAAACGAAAUUUCACUUUUCCUCUUUGCUUUCAAUCCAAUGUGCCCCUUCAAACUAAUAUGGGGUUGGCCCUCUUUUCCUCAAAAGCAAUUAUUGAAUUAAUCAAGGAAGAAUUGUAUUCAUAUUUCUUAUCGGUGACAGCUUGUAAAAUGUGUACUAUUUUCAUUGAAGAAUUGGAAUUGAAGUAUUAAUGUUAGAAAAAAAAUG
This 547-nucleotide long non-coding RNA is filed under the name Olea europaea subsp. europaea. Lineage: Eukaryota; Viridiplantae; Streptophyta; Magnoliopsida; Lamiales; Oleaceae. The record is from RNAcentral.